Helicoverpa zea (corn earworm) is the source of this 392-nucleotide long non-coding RNA. RefSeq lists it as uncharacterized. The transcript is spliced from 2 exons. The record is from RefSeq and is a predicted model, not a curated record. Lineage: Eukaryota; Metazoa; Arthropoda; Insecta; Lepidoptera; Noctuidae.
UGGAUGUGUUAGAAUACUAUUGAGAGUGUCCGGAGACCCAACAGCAUCCGACAUCGACAAAAUCUCUUCAAAUUAUCUGACGACAAUUUUCGAUAUAAAUAUCGAUUUACGUUUUUCGAAAUAAUAGUCAAUUGAAUGCAUGAUGAUAAUCCAUGAUGAUUCUAUGAUGCUCAACUGGGCUCGCCAUAAGAUUCAAGACUAUGUUGGCGGUUUGCACGCCGUAUUUCUGCCAGUAAUAUGCAAUGUUUGUAAAAGACUGGAAGCUAGCUAAAAUGUACAAAAAUGCCUAGAUGAGAAAAGGAACCAGAUUGUGUGAUGAAGAACAGUUUCCAACAUGUAUCAGUGCGUUUGACUUUAUAAAUAGACAUCGGAAUAAAAUAUAAUUUUCUACU